AACGCUAGCUACAGGCUUAACACAUGCAAGUCGAGGGGCAGCACAAGGCAGCAAUGCUGAGGUGGCGACCGGCGCACGGGUGCGUAACGCGUAUCCAACCUUCCCGUUACUCAUGGAUAGCCUUCCGAAAGGGAGAUUAAUACAUGAUGGUGUUGAAAUUCCGCAUGUUAUUUCAACUAAAGAUUUAUCGGUAACGGAUGGGGAUGCGUGACAUUAGAUAGAUGGCGGGGUAACGGCCCACCAUGUCCACGAUGUCUAGGGGUUCUGAGAGGAAGGUCCCCCACACUGGAACUGAGACACGGUCCAGACUCCUACGGGAGGCAGCAGUGAGGAAUAUUGGUCAAUGGCCGGAAGGCUGAACCAGCCAAGUAGCGUGAAGGAUGAAGGUUCUAUGGAUUGUAAACUUCUUUUAUGAGGGAAUAAAACCUCCCACGUGUGGGAGCUUGUAUGUACCUUAUGAAUAAGCAUCGGCUAACUCCGUGCCAGCAGCCGCGGUAAUACGGAGGAUGCGAGCGUUAUCCGGAUUUAUUGGGUUUAAAGGGAGCGUAGACGGGAGAUUAAGUCAGCUGUGAAAGUUUGAGGCCCAACCUUAAAAUUGCAGUUGAUACUGGUUUCCUUGAGUGCGGUUGAGGUGUAUGGAAUUCGUGGUGUAGCGGUGAAAUGCUUAGAUAUCACGAAGAACUCCGAUUG
RNAcentral lists this ribosomal RNA (690 nucleotides) under uncultured Bacteroidales bacterium. RNAcentral's name for it is "bacterial SSU rRNA". It matches the Rfam family "Bacterial small subunit ribosomal RNA", at positions 32 to 715 of the family's 1533-position model. Lineage: Bacteria; Pseudomonadati; Bacteroidota; Bacteroidia; Bacteroidales. The record is from RNAcentral.